GCCUGGCUGGCUCAGUCCGUAGAGCAUGCAACUCUUAAUCUCAGGGUCGUGAGUUCAAACCUCACAUUGGGUG
Molecule: transfer RNA, 73 nt
Filed under: Felis catus (domestic cat)
Lineage: Eukaryota; Metazoa; Chordata; Mammalia; Carnivora; Felidae
Rfam family: tRNA
About the family: Transfer RNA (tRNA) molecules are approximately 80 nucleotides in length. Their secondary structure includes four short double-helical elements and three loops (D, anti-codon, and T loops). Further hydrogen bonds mediate the characteristic L-shaped molecular structure. tRNAs have two regions of fundamental functional importance: the anti-codon, which is responsible for specific mRNA codon recognition, and the 3' end, to which the tRNAs corresponding amino acid is attached (by aminoacyl-tRNA synthetases). tRNAs cope with the degeneracy of the genetic code in two manners: having more than one tRNA (with a specific anti-codon) for a particular amino acid; and 'wobble' base-pairing, i.e. permitting non-standard base-pairing at the 3rd anti-codon position.
Source: Rfam by way of RNAcentral